UACGUAGGGUGCAAGCGUUAAUCGGAAUUACUGGGCGUAAGACGUGCGCAGGCGGUUAUGUAAGACAGGUGUGAAAUCCCCGGGCUUAACCCUGGGAACUGGCAUUUGUGUACUGCAUAGCUAGAGUACGGUAGAGGGGGAUGGAAUUCCGCGUGUAGCAGUGAAAUGCGUAGAUAUGCGGAGGAACACCGAUGGCGAAGGCAAUCCCCUGGACCUGUACUGACGCUCAUGCACGAAAGCGUGGGGAGCAAACGAGG
This 257-nucleotide ribosomal RNA is filed under the name uncultured bacterium. RNAcentral's name for it is "partial 16S ribosomal RNA". It matches the Rfam family "Bacterial small subunit ribosomal RNA", at positions 524 to 777 of the family's 1533-position model. The record is from RNAcentral.